CACGUAGGGUGCGAGCGUUGUCCGGAAUUAUUGGGCGUAAAGAGCUCGUAGGUGGUGUGUCGCGUCGGCCGUGAAAACUUGGGGCUUAACUCUGAGCGUGCGGUCGAUACGGGCAUCACUUGAGUUCGGCAGGGGAGACUGGAAUUCCUGGUGUAGCGGUGAAAUGCGCAGAUAUCAGGAGGAACACCGGUGGCGAAGGCGGGUCUCUGGGCCGAUACUGACGCUGAGGAGCGAAAGCAUGGGGAGCGAACAGG
This 254-nucleotide ribosomal RNA is filed under the name uncultured bacterium. Its description in RNAcentral is "partial 16S ribosomal RNA". It matches the Rfam family "Bacterial small subunit ribosomal RNA", at positions 524 to 776 of the family's 1533-position model. The record is from RNAcentral.